RNAcentral lists this unclassified non-coding RNA (338 nucleotides) under uncultured fungus. RNAcentral describes it as "partial contains small subunit ribosomal RNA, internal transcribed spacer 1, and 5.8S ribosomal RNA". The stretch from base 1 to 132 matches the Rfam family "Eukaryotic small subunit ribosomal RNA", at positions 1759 to 1831 of the family's 1831-position model. The record is from RNAcentral. Lineage: Eukaryota; Fungi.
ACAAACUUGGUCAUUUAGAGGAAGUAAAAGUCGUAACAAGGUUUCCGUAGGUGAGUAGAAGCGUUUGAUCUUAUCUUUAUAUGCUUGAAUAACUUGCUAACUUUUUUAGGUGAACCUGCGGAAGGAUCAUUACCGAGUGUGGCCCCCUUUCUAUAUAAGAGGGGUACCUCCCGUCCUUUGCAGGCCCUUUAGGGGCUUUUUGACUUUGCUUCGGCGGGGUUACCCCGCCGGAACACCCUCAAGAAAAUCUUAAAUGAACUUGUUGUCUGAGUUGCUUGCGAAUACACAAAACUUUCAACAACGGAUCUCUUGGUUCUGGCAUCGAUGAAGAACGCAGC